This 15930-nucleotide long non-coding RNA is filed under the name Nicotiana tabacum (common tobacco). Its description in RNAcentral is "long non-coding RNA (NTAB_LNC019085)". Lineage: Eukaryota; Viridiplantae; Streptophyta; Magnoliopsida; Solanales; Solanaceae. The record is from RNAcentral.
AGACGUCGAAGAAAUUUCUGAUUUUUUCGUUACUGCUUAGGAUUCAUCAGGUAAAGUUGUGAUUAUGUUAUCUUUACUGAUACUGAUCUAGAAAUCAUUAGUAUUCUUCUAACAUUGUGACAUUAUUUGCUAGGAAAUAUUAACCAACCAUAGAAAUUUCCGAUGUGCAUUUUUUAAUUAUGCUAAUUAAGCAUAGGGGAAAAUUAAUAUAGUCGUAAAUUCUUAUUAAGCUGCAGGGAAUAUCUGUUUAGCUUUGUUAUCUUCUGAAUGUUAAAAUUUGCAUUUCAAUACAUGCUUCAUUGUUACGAGAGGUCUUGUUUAUGGAAAAAUUUGAUACAGGUAUAUUCAUAUUAGUAUAUUUGUAUAGAAUUCUAAUAAUAUUUGAAUAUUUUCUCAACUAAAAUUAGACAACACUCGGGAAAAUCUGUGGUGUACUUGAAGUUAGCUUUGGCAUAAAACAAGUAUCAUGACCAGGUAAAAAGAUUCCUAUUCUCUUUUGUAACGACCCGAUCGGUUAUUUUGAGAUUAGUAGCCUCGAUCCCCUAUUAAAUUCUUCCCCCGUAUCUUUUUCUGCUUAUGCGACUUGUCGGGAGGUUUUGCUUUUGGUUUCGGAGUAUUUUGGGAUAGUUAGUCCCUAAACGAAAGCUUAAGCCUUGGGAUUUUGACUGUAGUUAGAACAGUGUGAAGACGACUCUGGAAUAGAGUUCCGUCUGUUCCAUUAGCUCCGUUGGGUAGUUUUGGACAUAGGAGGUUGUGCGGACUGUGAAUAUGAGGUCUGUAGCUGAUUUAAGCUUGAAAUGGUGAAAGUCAAAUUUUUAGAGAUUUUGAUCAGUAGUGGACUUUUUGAUAUCAGGGAUGGAUUCUGAUUUCAUAAGUUGAAGUAGGCCUGUAAUGUUGAAUAUGACUUGUGUGCAAAAUUUGAGGUCAAUCAGAUGUGGUUUGAUAGGUUUCGGCAUCGGUUGUAGAAAUUUGAAGUUUCAAGUUUAUUAAGUUUGGAUUGGUGGGUGAUUCGUAUUUUUGUUGUUAUUUGACGUGUUUUGAGCGAUCGACUAAGUUCGUAUGGUAUUUUAGGACUGGUAGGUAUGUUUGGUUGAGGUCUCAGGGGGGAGGGGGGAGUUGAUUUCGGGUGGUUAACGGAUCAUUUUUGGACUUAUGCAAAUUUCUGAAGUUGCUGGUUUCUGGUGUUUUCGCACCUGCGGUGGGGUGACCGCAGGUGCGGACUCGCACGUGUGAGAGGAAAAUCUUAGAUGCGGGCUGGAGGAGUUUGGCCUAGGUCGCAGGUGCGACAUGAAGGCCGCAGGAGCGGAGUUGCUUCUAUGGAAGCUUGAACGCAGAAGUGGAGAGGCCGGGGAGGUUUGGGAUCGUAGGAGCGGAAGGGUAUCCGCAGAAGCGAGAUCGCAGGUGCGAUCCCUGGUCUGCAAAAGAGAAAAUGCUGGCCAUGAGUAGAAUCUGCACCUGCGAUGGUUUUGUCGAAGGUGCGACUAGAGGUCCGCAGGUGCAAAAUAUCUGGACAGAACACUUAAAUGCAAGGGUUCGCGAUGUUUGCUCAUUUUUUACAUUUUGAUCUUGGGUUUGGCGAUUUCCUGAGAGCAUUUUCGAGGGAUUGCUUGAGGUAAGUCCCUUGUGCUUAUUUUUUAUCAAUAAUUUUACUUUCCCAUUUAUAUCUCCACCUAGUUAGUAUGUAUUUAAGGUGAAAUUUGGGGGUUUGAGGCUAGGGAUUUGAAGAGUUUGACUUUGGGUUUUGAGUGGCAUUCGAGGUCGGAUUUUGAUAAAUUUGAUAUGGUCGGAUGCGUGAGUGAAUGGGCUUUUGGAUUUUAUAAUUUUUACCCGAUUUUGAGAUGUGGGCCCGGGUUGACCUUUUAGGACGAAUUUCAGAAUUUUUGUUAAAGUGUUGAUUUCAUUAAUUAGAUUAGUGUAUUAUAGUUAUAUUUAUUAUAUGUAAUUAUUUUUGGCUAGACUUGGACAUUAAGAGUCGGAUAUUCUUGAAAAAUGCAUUGUUACCGAUUGAUUGAGUUUGGUUCGAGGUAAGUGGCUUGCCUAACCUUGUGUGGGAGAAAUCCCCUUAGGAUUUGGUACUGUCGUGAUAUGUGAGCGCCGUGUACGUGAGGUGACGAGUACGUACAUGGGAUAUUUGAUGAAAAACCCGAUUUAUUUUACUGAGUAGCAACCUGUUGUUUUCCUUUAGUUUAAGUUAUACCAUUUAAAUGAGUAUUAAUCUGUUUUUAUUCUUGAUUAAGCUCUUCGAACAUGCAUAGUUAUACUUUUUAGUCUAAUAUCGCAUGUCUACAUUCUUUAACUGCUUAUUUGAACUCUAUGAAGCAUGCCUAGUUAAUUUCAUGCGUUUCCUUGUUCUUUAUCAGUAUUAACUGUAGAAUUCUUGCUGUUAACUAUGGUAUUUAUCGGUUGAGCUGUGUGUUUACUUUUGAGACUACGAGGCGGUUCAUCGGGAGUUAUCCCUGCAUAUUUACUUUUGAGACUACGAGGCGGUUCCUCUGGAGUUCUCGCUACAAAUUUACUUUUGAGACUACGAGGCGGUUCCUCGGGAGUUCUCCCUGCAUAUUUACUUCUAAGACUACGAGGCGGUUCCUCGGGAGUUCGCCUUGCUAUUAUUUACUUUUGAGACUACGAGGCAGUUCCUCGNNNNNNNNNNNNNNNNNNNNNNNNNCCUGCACAUUUACUUUUGAGACUACGAGGCGGUUCCUCAGGAGUACUUCCUGCACAUUUACUUUUGAGACUACGAGGCGGUUCCUCGGGAGUUCACCCUGUAUAUUUACUUUUCAGACUACGAGGCGGUACCUCGGGAGUUUUCCCUGCACAUAUACUUUUGAGACUACGAGGCGGUUUCUCGGGAUUUAUCCCUUUAUAUUUACUUUUGAGACUACAAGGCAGUACCUCAAGAGUUCUCCCUGCAUAUGUUUUUUGGGACUACGAGACGGUAUCUCGGGAGAUCCCCUAAUGUCUAUCCCUGUGUGUUGCAUUGUUAUAUCACUGUGUUUUCUUUUCUUUUUUUGUUAAAUUCGAGUCUCUUAUUAUACUGUUAUAUUUUCCUUUUUUAUUUAUUAUAUACGAGUGGACCUGACCUGACCUUGUCACUACUCUACCGAUGAUAGGCUUGGCACUUACUGGAUAUCGUUGUGGUGUACUCAUGCUACUCUUCUGCACAUGUUUUUGUGUGCAGAUCUGGUACUUCUUAUCAGCCUCGCUACUAGCUCAGAGUGCUUGUUGUUGUACGGAGACUUUAAGGUACAUCUGCCACGUCCGCAGACCUCGGAGUCCCCCUCUAUUCUCUCUUAUGUCAUUUACAUUCCGUACUUCUUUUGUUAGACUCUGGUGUAUAAAGAUACUAGUUCCCUUCUGUAGCUUGUGACUUAUGAUGUUCCGGGUUUUGGGAAGAUGAUGUAUUUAUAGAGUAUUGGUUAUUAUACAUACCGAGCGGCAUUGUUACUAGUUAUUCAGUUAUCCAAUGCCGUUAGUUGCCAAGUUUUAUUUCUACUUUGUUAUUUUCCACAAUUUUCUAGGGUUACCUAGUCUUAGAGAUUAGGUGCCAUCACGACGUUACAUAUAGAGAGUUUGGGGUCAUGACAAGUUGAUAUCAGAGCUCUAGGUUCGUAGGUGUCGUGAGUCACAAGACGGUUUAUUAGAGUCUCGCGGAUUGGUACGGAGACGUCUAUACUAAUCUUCGGGAGGCUAUGAAAUUGUUAGGAAUAAUUAUACUUCUUUGAUUCAUUGUCGUGCGAAAUUUGCUGACAUCAAAUAUUCUAAACUUCUGUAUUUUAUUCUCUCACAAAUGUGAGGACACGUACAGGCGGAUCUGACGACCAGGAACCCGCGCCCCCUGCUAGAGCCGCGAGAGGCCAGGGCCGAGGUAGAGGCCGAGGACGUCUAUGCGGUGCAGCUAGAGCACCCGCAUGAGCUGCUACAGAAGAGCCCCUAGUAGAUCCAGCUGGAGGGCAGGCACCUGAGGUGCCUAUUGCUGCACCAGCUCUCCAGGAGACUCUAGCCCAGUUUCUGAGCAUGUUAACUACCUUAGCUCAGGCUCGAUUGAUUCCACUUGCUCCUACCGCAUCUUAGGCCGGGGGAGGAGCACAGACUACCAUCACCGGUACUCCAGAUAAGCGGGCUCAGGUCGAUCAGGACCCAGAGUUCAUCCCUAUGUAGCCGGUAGCUCUGGUUCAACACGAGACUAGGACAACCGCUUCUGAGGUGGAGCAACUCAUACUUGAGCGGUACAAGAAUUACCACCCACCUACCUUCAGCAGAUUGGCUACAGAUGAUGCUAAGGGUUUUUUGGAGGAGUGUCAUCGUAUUCUCCAUAAUAUAGGCAUAGAGGAGACGAGUGGGGCUUCUUUUACCACCUUCUAGCUUAGAGGAGCAGCUUAUCAGUGGUGGCGUGCUUAUGAGUUGAGUAGUCCGGAUGAGGCAACUUCACUUACAUGGACUCAGUUCUCGGAUAUGUUUUUGAGAGAGUAUGUCCCUCAGAGCCUCAGGGACGCACGACACGCGAAGUUUGAGCAGCUGCGCCAGUGUGCAAUGACUGUGUUAGAGUAUGCAGUUCGUUUCAGUGAUUUGGCCUGACAUGCACUGGCCUUGGUUUCCACAGUUCGAGAGAGGGUUCGUCGGUUUAUUGAGGGACUCCACCCCAGUAUACGGAUUCAUAUGGCCAGGGAGUUGGAGAUAUAUAUUUCUUAUCAGCAUGUUGUGAGUAUUAUCAGGAGAUUAGAGGGCAUGCUUGCCCGGGAUAGAGAGGAGAGGGAGGUGAAGAGGUCUCGAGAGUCUGGCACUUACAGCGGUACUCGUGCCCUAGCGGCAGUUCGACAUGGUAGGGAUUAUGUGUGUCGCCCUAUUCAUUCAGCUCUUCCUGCCACUAGUGGUGUUCCAUCUCGUGCUAGGACCCAGGAGCUUUAUUAUGCACUGCCGGUAUCUAGUGUGCCUCCUCCCCGGGGUGCUAUUAUCGGCCAGUCCAGCAGAUCUGGCCCGAGUCAGUCACAAUAGCCACGCCCUCCGAGGUAUUUUUUUGAGUGUGGCGGCACUCGCCAUUUGGUGAGGGAUUGCCCCAUACUUAGGAGAGGUGCACCUCCGCAGAUUUCUCAGCCACCGCGCGUUCCACCGGGUCCUCAGGCUAUGAUUCCAGCACCAACUAGUGCCCCACCUACUGAGCCGGCUCAAGGUGGAGGCCGAGGUCUCCCUAGAGGGUGAGGCCAUGCCAGAUAUUAUGCUCUUUCGGCUCAUGCAGAGGCAGUUGCUUCUGACUCUGUUAUUACAGGUGUUGUUCCAGUCUGUCAUAGAGAUGCGUCGGUAUUAUUUGACCUAGGUUCUACAUAUUCCUAUGUGUCCUCUUAUUUUGCCCCGUAUUUGGGAAUAUCUCGGGAUUCUUUGAGUUCCCCUAUUUAUGUGUCUACUCAUGUGGGAGAUUCUCUUGUUGUGGACCCCGUGUAUCGGUUGUGUUUGAUUUCUCUUUGUGGUUUUGAGACCAGAGCCGAUUUAUUAUUACUCAGCAUGGUAGACUUUGAUGUUAUCUUGGGCAUGGACUGGUUGUCGCCCCAUUAUGCUAUUCUUGAUUGUCACGCUAAGACCGUGAUGCUGGCUAUGUCAGGUUUACCGCGAUUUGAGUGGAGAGGUACCUUAGAGUAUACUCCCAGCAGAGUUACUUCAUUUCUUAAAGCUCAGCGAAUGGUUGAGAGGGGGUGUGACGAUUAUCUAGCUUAUGUGAGAGAUGUCAGUAUUGAUACCCCUAUAGUUGAGUUAGUUCUAAUAGUGAGGGACUUUCUAGAUGUGUUUCCAGCUGAUCUUCCGGGCAUGCCGCACGAUAGAGUUAUUAAUUUUGGCACUGAUUUGUUGCCGAGCACUCAGUCCAUCUCUAUUCCUUCGUAUCACAUGGCUCCUCAUGAGUUGAAGGAGUUGAAGGAGCAGUUAAUGGAGUUGCUUGAUAAGGGCUUCACUCGGCAUAACGUGUCACCUUGGGGUGCUCCUGUCUUGUUUGUGAAGAAGAAGAAUGGUUCUAUGCAUUUGUGCAUUGAUUAUCACCAGCUGAACAAAGUUACAGUGAAGAACAUGUAUCCAUUUCCUCGUAUUGAUGACUUAUUUGACCAGUUAUAGGGUGCUAGAGUGUUUUCAAAGAUUGAAUUACAUUUCGGCUAUCAUCAGUUGAAGAUUUGGGAGCCAGAUAUCCCGAAGAUUGCUUUCAGGACUCAGUAUGGUCACUACGAGUUCCUUGUGAUGUCAUUUGUGCUGACCAAUGCCCCAACAGCUUUUAUGCACUUGAUGCACCAUAUUUUCCGGCCCUAUCUUGACUCAUUCGUCAUUGUGUUUAUUGACGACAUUCUGAUGUACUCCCGGACUUGGGAGGAUCAUGAGCAGCACCUAAUGACUGUGCUUCAGACCCUGAGAGAAAAGAGGUUAUAUGCAAAAUUUUCAAAGUGUGAGUUUUGGCUAGACUCAGUGGCAUUCUUGGGUUAUGUAGUCUCGAGUGAUGGGAUCCAGGUGGAUCCGAAUAAGGUGGAAGCAGUGCAGAGUUGGCCUAGACUAUCAUCAGCUACGGAGAUCCAGAGUUUUCUUGGUUUGGCAGGGUAUUACCAUCAUUUUGUAGGGGGAUUUUCAUCUAUUGCAGCACCUAUGACCAGGUUGACCCAGAAGGGUGCUCCGUUCAGGUGGACACAAGAGUGUGAGGAGAGCUUUCAGAAGCUCAAGACAGCAUUGACUACAACUCUAGUAUUGCUGUUGCCUAUAGGUUCGGGGUCUUAUACUGUAUAUUAUGAUACAUCGCGGAUUGGUCUCGGUGCGGUGUUGAUGCAGGACAGUAAGGUGAUUGCCUACACAUCCAGACAACUAAAGGUGCAUGAAAAGAACUAUCAUGUCCAUGACCUUGAGUUAGCAGCUAUUAUUCAUGCCUUGAAGAUAUGGCGUCACUAUUUGUACGGUGUUCAUUUUGAGAUCUACACCGAUCACCGAAGUUUGCAGCAUCUGUUCAAGCAGAAGGAUCUUAAUUUGUGUUAGAGGAGGUGCUUAGAGCUGCUUAAGGAUUAUGAUAUCACCAUUUUGUACCACCCUGGGAAGGCCAAUGUGGUGGCCGAUUCUUUGAGUCGUCGGGCAAAGAGUUUGGAGAGCUUAGCAUAUCUACCAGCAACAGAGAGGCCCAUGGUGUUGGAUGUUCAGGCCUUAGCCAGCCAGUUUGUGAGAUUGGAUAUUUCUGAGUCGAGUCGAGUAUUGGCUUGUGUGGUCUCUCGGUCUUCUCUUUGGGAUCGUAUCAGGGAGCGUCAGUGUGAUGACCCACAUAUGUUUGUCCUUAUGGACACGGUCCGGCACGGUGAUGCUAAAGAGGUCACUAUUAGGGAUGAUGGUGCAUUGAGGAUAUAGGCUAGACUAUGUGUGCCUAAUAUGGAUGAUUUGCAUGAGUUGAUUCUCCAGGAAGCUCACAGUUCACGGUACUUCAUUCAUCCGGGUGCCGCGAAGUUGUAUCAGGACUUGAGGCAGCAUUACUGGUGGAGGAGGAUGAAGAAGGACAUAUUGGAGUUUGUAAAUCGGUGUCUAAAUUACCAGCAAGUUAGGUAUGAGCAUCAGCGGCCAGGUGGAUUGCUUCAGAAGAUAGAGAUUCCAGAGUGGACAUGGGAGCGAAUCACUAUGGAUUUCGUUGUUGGACUCCCAAGGACUUAACGAAAGUUUGACGUAGUUUGGGUGAUUAGGAUAGGCUGACCAAGUCAGCUCAUUUCAUUCCUGUGAUGACUACCUAUUCAUCCGAGCAGUUGGCUCGAAUUUAUAUUUGUGAGAUUGUCAGGCUUCAUGGCGUAUCAGUAUCUUUCAUCUCUGACCGGGGUACGCAGUUUACAUCAUGGUUCUGGACGGCUGUACAAUAGGAGUUGGGUACUUAGUUUGAGCUGAGCACAUCAUUUCACUCUCAUAUGUACGGACAAUCUGAGCGCACUCUUCAGAUACUGGAGGAUAUGCUAUAUGCAUGUGUGAUAGAUUUUGGAGGUUCUUGGGAUCAGUAUGAGGCUCUAUAUGGUUGGCGGUAUCGGUAUCCAGUGGGUUGGUUCGAGCCGAGCGAGGCUAGAUUAUUGUGUACAAACUUGGUUCAGGAUGCCCUGGAUAAGGUGAAGGAGAUUCUGGACCGACUUCGCACAACCCAGUCCAGAUAGAAGAGUUAUGCGGAUAGGAAGGCUCACGAUGUUGCAUUCAUGGUUGGAGAGCGAGUCUUGCUCCGAGUUAUGCCUAUGAAGGGCGUUAUGAGGUUCGGGAAGAAGGGCAAGCUGAGCCCAAGGUUCAUUGGUCCAUUUGAGGUGUUGCGGCGAGUUGGAGAUGUUGCUUAUGAGCUUGCCUUACCUCCCAGUCUAGCAGGAGUUCAUCCUUUAUUCCAUAUUUCUAUGCUCCGGAAGUAUCACGGUGAUCCGUCUCAUGUGCUAGAUUUCAGCUCAGUCCAGUUGAAUAAGGAUCUAUCUUAUGUUGAGGAGCCAGUGGCUAUUUUGGAUAGGCAGGUUCAAAAGCUGAGGUCGAAGAACAUUGCUUCCGUGAAGGUUCAGUGGAGGGGUCAGCCGGUCGAGGAGGCGACUUGGGAGAUCGAGCAAGAUAUGCAUAGUCGUUAUCCUUAUUUUUUCACCACUUCAGGUAUAUCUUUAUGCUCGUUCAAGGACGAAAUAUUGUUUUAGAAAGGGGAGGAUGUAAUGACUUGUCUGGUCGUUUUGACAGUAAUAGCCCCGAUCCCCUAUUAACUACUUCCCCCGUAUCCUUUUCUGCUUAUGUGACUUGUCAGGAGGUUUUGUUUUUGGUUUCGGAGUGUUUUGGGAUACUUAGUCCCUAAACAGAAGCUUAAGCCUUAGGAUUUUGACUGUAGUCGGAACAGUGUUAAGACGACUCUGGAAUGGAGUUCUGUCGAUUCCGUUAGAUCCGUUGGGUGAUUUUGGACUUAGGAGCGUGCCCGGACUGUGAAUUUGAGGUUUGUAGCUGAUUUAGGCUUGACCGGUAGUGGACUUUUUGAUAUCAGGGUCGGAUUCUGAUUCUGGAAGUUGGAGUAGGUCCGUAAUGUUUAAUAUGACUUGUGUGCAAAAUUUGAAGUCAAUCAAACAUGGUUUGAUACGUUUCGGCAUCGGUUGUAGAAAUUUGAAGUUUCAAGUUCAUUAAGUUUGGAUUGGAGGGUUAUUCGUGUUUUUGUUAUUGUUUGACGUGUUUUGAGGUCUCGACUAAGUUUGUAUUGUGUUUUAGGACUGGUAGGUAUCUUUGGUUGAGGUCCGGGGGAGGGGGGGCUCGGGUUGAUUUCGGGUGGUUAAUGGAUCAUUUUUGGACUUAUGGAUAUUUCUGAAGUUGCUGGUUUCUGCUGUUUUCGCACCUGUGGUGGGAUGAACGCAGGUGUGGACUCGCACGUGUGAGAGGAGGAUUGCAGAGCGGGCUAGAGGAGUUAAGCCGGGGUCGCAGGUGCGACAUGAAGGCCGCAGGAGCGGAGUCGCUUUUGCGAAAGGUUGAACGCAUAAGCUGAGAUGCUUAGGAGGUUUGGGAUCGCAAGAGCGGAAGGGUCUCCGCAGAAGCGAGAUCGCAGGUGCAAACCCUGGUCCGCAGAAGCGGAACCCCUGGCCAUGAGUGGAAUCCGCACCUGCGAUGGUUCUGCCGCAGGUGCGAAAUUUCUGGACAGAACACUUAAAUGCAAGGGUUCACGAUUUUUGCUCAUUUUUGACAUUUUAAGCUCGGGUUUGGCGAUUUCGUGAGAGCAUUUUCGAGGGAUUGCUUGAGGUAAGUCCCUUGUGCUUAUUUUUUAUCAAUAAUCUUGCUUUCCUAUUUAUGUUUCCACCUAGUUAGUGUGUAUUUAAGGUAGAAUUUGGGAGUUUGAGGCUAGGGAUUUGAAGAGUUUGAUUUUGGGUUUUGAGUGGUCAUUCGAGGUCGGAUUUUGAUAAAUUUGGUAUGGUCGGACUCAUGAGUGAAUGGGCUUUCGGAUUUUGUGAUUUUUUCCCGAUUCUGAGACGUGGGCGCGGGUCGACUGUUUAGGACGGAUUUCAGAAUUUUUGUUAAAGUCUUGAUUUCAUUAAUUAGAUUAGUCUAUUAUAGUUGUAUUUAUGAUAUGUAAUUAUUUUUUGCUAGAUUUGGGCAUUCAGAGUUGUAUAUUCAUGGAAAAGGCAUUGUUACCGAUUGAUUGAUCUUGGUUCGAAGUAAGUUUCCUGCCUAACCUUGUGUGGGGGAAAUCCCCUUAGGAUUUGGUACUGUCGUGAUAUGUGAGCACCGUAUAUGUGAGGUGACGAGUACGUACAUAUGCUAUUUGUUGAAAAACUCGAUUUAUUUUACUGAGUAGCAACUUGUGUUUUUUCUUGAAUUUGAGUUAUGUCGUUUAAAUGAGUAUUAGUCUGUUUUCAUUCCUAAUUGAGCUAUUCCAACAUGUGUAGUUAUCCUCUUUAGUUUAAUAUAGCAUGUCCACGUGAUUAAUUACUUAUUUAAACUUUGUGAAGCAUGCCUAGUUGAUUUUCUGCGUUUCCUUGUUCUUUAUCAGUCUUAACUGUAGAAUUCUUACUUUUAACUAUGGUAUUUAUCGGUUGAGCUGUGUGUUUACUUUUAAGACUACGAGGCGGUUUCUCCUGCAUAUUUACUUUUGAGACUACGAGGCGGUUCUUCGGGAGUUCUCCCUAUACAUUUACUUUUGAGACUAUGAGGCGGUUCCUCGGGAGUUCUCCCUAUAUAUUUAGUUUUGAGACUACGAGGCGGUACCUCAAGAGUUUUCCUUGCACAUUUACUUUUGAGACUACGAGACGGUUCAUCGGGAGUUCUCCCUGUAUAUUUACUUUUGAGACUACGAGGCGGUACCUCGGGAGUUCUCCUUGCAUAUUGUUUUGGAACUGUGAGACGGUAUCUCGGGAGAUCCCCUGUUGUUUAUCUCUAUGUGUUGCAUUGUUAUAUCGCUGUGUUUUCUUUUGUUUUUGUUAAAUUCCAGUCUCUUAUUAUACAAUUAUAUUUUCCUGCUUUAUUUAUUAUAUACCAGCGGGCCUGAUCUGACCUCGACACUACUCUAUCGAGCUUAGGCUUGACACUUAUUGGGUACCGUUGUGGUGCACUCAUGCUACUCUUUUGCUCAUAUUUUUGUAUAUAGAUCCUGGCACUUCUUAUCAGCCCCGCUACUAGCUGAGAGUCCUUGUUAUUGUACAGAGACUUCAAGGUACAUGUGCCGCUUUCGCAGACCUCGGAGUCCCCCUGCUUUUCUCUCCUAUGUCAUUUACCUUCCGUACUUCUUUUGUUAGACCAUAGUGUUAGAGAUACUAGUUCCCUUCUGUAGCUUAUGACUUAUGAUGUUCCAGGUUUUGGGAAUAUGGUGCAUUUAUAGAGUAUUGGUUAUUGUACAUGCCGAGCAGUAUUUUUACUAGUUAUUUAGUUAUCCAUUGCUGUUAAUUGCCAAGUUUUAUUUUCGCUUUGCUAUUUUUCGUAAUUUGUUAGGCUUACCUAGUCGUAGAGACUGAGUGUCGUCACGACGUUAUACGGAGGGAGUUUGGGAUCGUGACAUCUUUAUUUUCUUAUUAUGGUACUAUACAAUACCCUAUUUUGGAAAAGUUAUUCUUAAUUUUUACGAUCUAUUUGUUAAGUAUAGUUAUUGCUUAAAUGAAUAUCUAUUUUCAAAUCUAAUCACCAUUGAUUUUUAGGUUUUCAAAUGUUCUGUCCUAAGACUGGAUGGAUCUACCAAUGUAUACCAAAGAGUAUACUAAUGGUGGUCAAUAUAUCUUGGUUUUUGCUAAUUCAAAUGAUGAAUGCUUGUCCAUGUUCAGCUAGAAAAUCAUUCAGUCAAUAGCUUGAUUAACAACUAAAGACACGCUAGAAACUCCAGUUCUUAUAUUCAUUUUUUGUUUUUGAUGCUUUCUUCUCUAUAUAUACAGAUUGUCCCUUUUGGUAUUGGUAGAAGGUACUAGAUUGGUUACAUUUUGAUUCUCUUUUGUUAAAAUCUAAAGCUGCGUAUGUAAGCAUUUUGAUCUUAUUUGGUUCCCUAUAUUUAAAGCAUUUGGUUACUAUUUCUCGUGCCUCAAGUAAAUAUAAGAACCAUAGUGAAUCAUAUUAGAAUAUAUGGAAAGAAGUCUAAGUCCUCUAUUUUUGAACUAUACAACCAGAGAAGUGAAAGGGAAGUUUACCUGGAGUAAUAAUAUCACCAUCAUAUUACCUGAAGUAUUUAAGCAAGAUUUUUAUUAAUAACAUGCUCUUUUUCUUUUAUUACUGCCAGGUGGUUCGCAUCCAACUAAAGAAGAUUGUGGACUAGCAAAAAUUAAGGAAGCACAUAGAUAUUGAGCAGGUAUCUCUGCAACUUGAUAGUCUAGCAGUUAUCUUUUGUAUUUUCAUACCUUUAAACUUUUAUUAUGAAUUGAAAAAGAAAACUUUUUUAGUCAUAGAUCUUGUUUGUGCUUCUAUGUCAUUAUAUUGUAGUAUCAUUGUUAAAUUCUGUUAUUACACCAUCAAAAACUUUUACAGUGAAAAUAUAUAGAGUUGUAAGAUUGAAUUUUGUCAAUACACCAGAAUUUUUGCAAUGUUUUUGUGUUUUUGCAAUACUUUGUAUUUCUGCACAUUUUAUUUUUGCAGUGUGUCCCAUUUCUUAGCGUUUCUAUAGUGUUUUGUGUUUUGCACAGCGUUUCUGUAUUUUUGCAUUUCUGCACAUAGCUUCUGCAUUUUCUGUAUUUCUUCUCGCUUCAGCAUUUCGUAUUUCUGCAUAGCGUUUCUACAAAUUCUGCAUCUUUGCACAGUGUUUCUGCAGUGUUUGUAUUUCUGUUCAUUUGUUGUAUCUAGCCCUUGGAAAAUACACAUAGUAUGUGGAUAUAUCAGUGUUAUAAUAUGUAUCAUGUACUAUAUAAUCUUCAAUUUUCAUCUUUUUAUGCAUAUCUUGCUCAAUGCUGGUACUUAUGAAUAAUUUUGGAAUAUCUUAAAUGUUGUUAUUUUUAUUUGGAAGUAGUGGGUUCAUAUUUCGUACCAACUCUUAUGUUAAACUUGAUAAUCUUGUAGGGGUAGUUGAUAGUGGAUAAUGCAUGGGCGAUGAGGCCAACAUCUUCCAUGCUCCUUUAGGUUAUCAGGACACACUACGCCUAUUUUAGGUCUAUUUUUGAUAGUGUAGGAGUAAAUUUGACUCUUUUUCCUUGUUUGUAUGAAGGGUUAGACAACAUUUGUUUAGAAUUAUAUAGAAAAGUGCUUAGAGAUAUAGUUUGAUAUUCUUGAAAACUUAAUAGCAAUGAGAAAACAUAUUUAGAUAACAUAGAGUAGUAUUAUUAUAAGCUAAUGUUGAGGGAAAAUGGUCAAGUUGAAUUUGGAGAAAUGAAGAGGUAAUGUAGCGACUUGGCCGGUCGUUUUGUAUAUUAUAACCCCGUUCCCCUAUUUACUGCUCAAUUUAUGCAUUACAGUUAUUUUAUGACUUAGCGAGUUAGUUGGUUCUGGUCCGAAAGGAUUUCAGAGUUAAAUGAGACACUUAGUCUCUUAAUUGAAAACUUAAGUUGGCAAAGUUGAUCAAAUAUUGACUUAUAUGUAAACAACCUCAGAAUUUAUUUCUGCUGAUUCCAAUAGCUCCGUAUGAUGAUUUUGGACUUAGAAGUGUGCCCGAAAAAUUAUUUGGAGGCCCGUAGUGGAAUUAGGCUUGAAAUGACGAAAGUCAAAUUUUUGGGAAGUUUGACCGGGGGGUUGAGUUUUUGAUAUCGGGGUCGAAAUUCGAUUUUUUGAAAAUUUUAAUAGGUCUGUUAUGUCAUUUAUGACUUGUGUGCAAAAUGUGAGGUCAAUCGGACUUGAUUUGAUAGGUUCCGGCGUCGUUUGUGAAAACUUGAAAUUUCAAAGUUCAUUAGGCUUGAAUUGGGGCAUGAUUAGCGGUUUUAGCGUUGUUUGAGGUAAUUUGAGGGUUUGACUAAGUUCGUAUGACGUUAUGGGACUUGACGGUAUGUUUGGUUGAGGUCCCGGGGGCCUCGGGUAAGUUUCAGAUGGUUAACGGAUCAAUUUUGGACUUGGCAUUCUAGCUAAAGAAUGCUAGUUUUCUGUCACUGGUUUCCUUCUAUGCGAUCGCAUGAGAAUGUCCGCGAUCACGUAGCUGUGCGAGUUUGGUAUUCGUGAACACGUGAAGAAGGUCACGUUCGCGUAGAGUAAGUGGAGCAGAAGUAGAGGUCACGCGUUUUGUGCUUCGUGAUCACGUGGACGAGUCUGCGAUCACGUAGGCCUGUGAGGGUGAGCUUCGUGAUCGCGUGGAAAAGUCCGUGAUUGCGUAGGGCUUAAUCUGACAUUGGAAAUUUGUGGUUCGCGAUCCCAUGUGGUUGUCCGCGAUCGUGUAGAGCAAAUGACUGGGCAGGGAGUUUAAGUUCUAAAAAUGGGACUUCGUCCCAUUUUCCAUUUUUACCGAUUUGGAGCUCGGAGAGAGAGAAUGUUCCGGAGAUUUUCAAGAAAAACAAUGGGGUAAGUGUUCCUAACUCAAUAUUGGUUAAGUUACUCGAAUCCAUGGUUAUUUUUGACAUUUAAUUAGUGAAUUAAGUUAGAAGAUUUUGAAAACCCUCUUCGUUUAAAUUGAAGAUUUGAGGGUCGAGUUGAGGUCGGAUUUUUGUAAAAUUGGUAUGGGUAGACUCGUGGUUGAAUGGGCUAUCGGAUUUUGUAACUUCUAUCGUGUUCCGAUAUGUGGGCCCCACGCGAGAUUUUUGAGCUAAAUUUUGGAUUUUGUUGGAAAAUUAGUAUUUUCUUAUGGAAUUAAUUCCAAUAAAUGUUAUUGACUGAAUCAAAUUAUUUGUGGCUAGAUUCGAGGCGUUUGGAGGCCAAUUCACGAGGAAAAGACAUUGCAGAAUAAAGAAUUAUAUGACUUGAGGUAAGUAAUAGUUCUAAAUUUUAUCUUGAGGGUAUGAAACCCCGUAAUAUGUAUUAUAUGAUUGGUUUUGAGGUGACGCACAUGCUAGGUGACAGGCGUGUGAGCGUGCACCAUAGAAAUUAUGACUUGGUCAAUUUCAUGGAACUGUGUAGUUGAAAAAUCUGUUGAUAUCCAUACAUUUUCUCCGUAAUAGAGAAAUUGAUCUAUGAAUCAAGUUUAAAUAAUACCUUUAUACUGUUGGGACCCACAAAGGUCGUGUACUUGUGAAAUUGUUUGCUAAAUUGCUAUAUUUGCACAUUUUUAUCUCAGUCUCUCUUAUUCAUUAUUGAUGCAUCAUAUCAUUGUUGUUGGGUUGCUUAUCAUGAUUUUUGAGACCCCGAGAGACUGGAGAGGUUGAUGACCUCGUGAGGCCGAGGGCCUAAUUGUGCGGAUAUUUAUGGAUCGGGUUGUACGCCGCAACAUGUUUCAUUGAUUUGUGCCAUGAUUGGUUUGAUAUAGCGCUUGGGAUGAAGGAGCCCCUCCGUAGUCUGUACACCCCCUAGUGAAAUCAGGUACCUAUUGAGUACGAGUGUCGAGUGCGAGUGCCGAGUGAAGAGUGACUGUGAGGAAAGAGUGACUCUGAGGUUGGAGUGAAUGGGAGGAUUGAGCGACUGUUACUCUGAGAGGAUGCAUUAAUUUCAUUAUUUGAUGCAUUUUAGAUAUCAUAUAUCACAAUUUUUUGAAAUUUCGGAAAAAUAUUAUUUCUAUUUCGGUCAAACAAGAUAUGAAAUUUUCGUAAAAUCUUAAAUGUUGAAUUUGAGAACAUGCCUACUCUUUUAAAUUGGAAAGUACUGUAUUUGGACUUAGCUGAGAAAUUCGUCACUACUUUUAGUUUUUUAUUUAUUAUUGUUACUUACUGAGUUGGUUGUACUCAUACUACAGCGUGCACUUCGUGUGCAGAUCCAGGGAUCCUGGAUACAGUGGGUGUUCAUUCUUUCACACAGCCGCUUUUUCGGAGAUUCAGAGGUAGCUGCCAUGUUUCGUAGACCUUGUCUCUCCUUCUUUAUCUUUUUGUUUAUUGUAUUUGGUCUCAGAUUAUUAUAGACCACGUUUUCCAGACUUGUAAUAUAUAGAAGCUCAUGUAUUCAGUAACACUAGGAUUUGGGAGUGUGUGUAACGGUAUUUAUGGG